Molecule: long non-coding RNA, 911 nt
Organism: Anolis sagrei ordinatus
Lineage: Eukaryota; Metazoa; Chordata; Lepidosauria; Squamata; Anolidae
Source: RefSeq, a predicted model, not a curated record
AGUACUUUGGAGAGGCUCAGGGUGAGACGAUUUGAGAACCCGCUGUUGCGCAUUUCAAGCUAAAAACCACUUGGAAGUUUCCUUCCUUUCCCAAAAGAAAGGAUCACUCUUGGUAUUAUCUCUCCUAUCUGCUGCUACAAUCAGACAUGAAUCAAAGAGAACACAGAAAUGCUGGACCACUCUGACCACCGUUGUGUAAGACCACACAGAGGAACCACUGACAUCCACAAGAAGCACAUGGACAAUUUCAACAGAACGGAGAAAACAAUGAAAAUGAACACAAUCUGGAUACAAGUAUUUAAAAAACACCAGAUCAAGACAGUAAAUAAAAAACACCACUCAGAAACAGGGGGAACUCCAGACAGCAAACAGUCAAGUGCCAGUUAACACCUUCCAAACAGAGGGUGCCUCCAGGCAACAACAGCCUGGGGCUGCGAUGGUGCAGUGUGUUAAACGGUAGAACUGUUGAAUCUGCUGACCUAAAUGUUGGCAGUUCGAAGCCGUGGGUCAGGGUGAGCUCCUGCUGUUAGCCCUAGCUUCUGCCAACCUAGAAGUUCAAAAACAUGCAAAUGUGACUAGAUCAAUAGGUACCGCUUCGAAGGGAGGGUAGUAAAGGUACCCAUGCAGCCCAUGCCGACAAUGUGAUCAGGUGGUGUCUACAGACAACAGGAUCCUUGGCUUGGACAUGGAACAAGAGCACCUCCCCAUGGCCAGAGUUGAGAAACAUCUCCAGAAAGCUGGAGAUGGAAGGGGAAGCCUUUACCUUUAUUCUGUGUAUUUGUGUGUCAUUGUUUUUCCACUGUAUGAAAAGGCAUUGAAUGUUUGCCUAUCUGUGUAUGUUGUAAUCCGCUCUCAGUUCCCUUGAGGAGAUAGAGCGGAAUACAAAUAAAGUGUUGUUGUUGUUGCUAUUA